Molecule: non-coding RNA, 647 nt
Organism: Cinara cedri
Lineage: Eukaryota; Metazoa; Arthropoda; Insecta; Hemiptera; Aphididae
Source: the annotation of a GenBank genome assembly
AAUACCAAUUUUUUCGCCUGAAAUUUCGUAACGCGAUCUGCGCGUGGUAGGACUUGAGAUAAUAUUAUGUUGUUUGCCCGUGUGCGGUAUCUCGAAAACGUCUGCGUAGGUAGACAACGGUACUGGUAUUUUGCUUUUCCCUCCUAAAAACGCCUGAGACCUGUAGGAAAAAAAAACAGGGUACAUAAAUUAAUGUGGACAAGCAGACGUCGUAUUUAGCAUGGACGUUGCGUUGUGCAAUCAGGUCGAAAAAUCCUAUUGAAUCAAGGUCGGUGAAGGGGUGGACUAGAUGUGAAAAAAUAAGAUCUCGGUUCCCAUUGUCGUCUUUAAGGUCGAAAACAUCAAUUUUUUUUUUCUUCUUUAAGAAUGCAUAAACGUUAUUUCAAUCAUUGUUGUUGGGGAAAAAUAUAAUACGAGUAUACUUACGAGGUACUUAUACGGUUUUCCCCUCUGUUUGCCGCAACGUGUUCUCGAAUAUAAAACUAAACGUCAACGUAACCGCCGAAGUGGAUUGUUUUAAUUGUAAUCUAUCAAAAUACCAUAUUAAUGUACUGCAACCGCGUAUUCGUUUGACGUAGGCCAUAAUUUCUAUGCGACUGAGCACACGUGUAACACUUGAACUGUACAAUGCUGUUUUUUUUUUUUUU